UUGGGAAAAACUCACAAAAUGUAUUACCCACUACCGGAGUAUAAACUGCAAAAUGUUCAGGUGGCAUCAUUAAAUCGCCAAAAAUCACAUCUUCAUUGAAAACUUUAAAAUGUCACAGAAUUAAAACAGGAUGUACCACUUCGUAAGAAUGUCCAAAGUUCUCACAAACUUCGCAGAAGUGGUGGUGUGAGUUUCCGGUAACUCACAUCACUUAAUGAUUGUUGAAGAGACCGGAAUACAGGGAAGAUGUGUUGUGGAAGUUUAUUUAAAAGAACACCUUAGCAAAUUUUUCAUUUCAAAUAAAAUAGUGUUUCACAGUUGGUUCUUGCACUUGUAUCGAAAUAAUCUGUAGUAAAUAGUUUCCGAAACGUUCUUUGGAAUUCUAUUGGUGUGGGAUUUAUACAAUUCCCAAAUUGACGCCUCACAGAGCCAAAGAAAUAUGUCAAACAAUACUGAUUUAGUUGCAGCAACCUUUUAGUGAAAAUUGUAAACAAAUUGUAUUCUGUGAAAACUAUUAAAAAUAAUAAGCAAAAUGUUUAUGUUCCUGAA
This is a long non-coding RNA of Zophobas morio, 549 nucleotides long. RefSeq lists it as uncharacterized. The transcript is spliced from 2 exons. The record is from RefSeq and is a predicted model, not a curated record. Lineage: Eukaryota; Metazoa; Arthropoda; Insecta; Coleoptera; Tenebrionidae.